UACGUAGGGUGCAAGCGUUAAUCGGAAUUACUGGGCGUAAAGCGUGCGCAGGCGGUUAUGCAAGACAGAUGUGAAAUCCCCGGGCUCAACCUGGGAACUGCAUUUGUGACUGCAUAGCUAGAGUACGGUAGAGGGGGGAUGGAAUUCCACGUGUAGCAGUGAAAUGCGUAGAUAUGUGGAGGAACACCGAUGGCGAAGGCAAUCCCCUGGACCUGUACUGACGCUCAUGCACGAAAGCGUGGGGAGCAAACAGG
Molecule: ribosomal RNA, 254 nt
Filed under: uncultured bacterium
Lineage: Bacteria
Description: partial 16S ribosomal RNA
Rfam family: Bacterial small subunit ribosomal RNA
Source: RNAcentral